Molecule: long non-coding RNA, 106 nt
Organism: Lynx canadensis (Canada lynx)
Lineage: Eukaryota; Metazoa; Chordata; Mammalia; Carnivora; Felidae
Exons: 4
Source: RefSeq, a predicted model, not a curated record
CCCCUUAGUCCUGAGAGUCUGAGAGACAGAAGCGAGAGUGCUCCAAGGUUGGUGAAUGAGUUCAGGGGUGCGGGGGCUGGCUGGGAGAUUGGAAGAGCACACGCCU